This 72-nucleotide transfer RNA is filed under the name Heliconius melpomene (postman butterfly). RNAcentral describes it as "tRNA HMEL015662". Lineage: Eukaryota; Metazoa; Arthropoda; Insecta; Lepidoptera; Nymphalidae. The record is from RNAcentral.
AUAUAUAUGGCUAAGUGGUCAGAGCGUUUGGGCAGUAGACAAGGGGCGCAGGUUUAAAUCCGGCUACAUUCA